AACCAGAAGGCUUUGGACAAGUUGGUGAACUGUGAUGGAAUAAAAACCUCCAGCUUGAGAGGAGGGGAGAGAUGUGAGGUCUACAGGCUCUGCCUUCUUGCUACUGUGGAUAACCUACAGAGAUCCGUCUGUGCCUUGGCUGUCCAAUGGAGGAUGAGAUCAUAACUUCCCCCAAUAAGUUCUUUGUGUGUGCUGUAUGUGAGUACAUGUUUGUGUGGGUGUGUGUGUAAAAAUGUACACACGUAUAUGGAAACCAGAGAUGCAUGCCGGGUAUCUUCCUCAAUCACUUUCCACCUUAUUUCUUUUUAGAUUUAUUUUAUUUCAUGUAUAUAAGUGCUUUGCCUACAUGCAUAUGUGUGUUCUAUGUGUGUUGGUGGUACCUGCAUGCAUAUGUCAGAUGAGGACUUUGGAUCCCCUAGAACUGGAGUUUAUGGUUGGCUGUGAGCCACAGUGAGGGUGCUGAGAACCUAACCUGGGUUCUCUGUAAGAGCAGCAAGUGCUCUGACCACCGAGCAAUCUCUUCCGCCCUCCACAUUAGUUUCUGAGGUAGGGGCUCUCACUGAAGCUGGAGCUCACUGAUUUGGCUAGGCACUGGGGAACAGAUGCAUGCAGCCAUGCCUCACUCCUAUGUGGGUGCUAGGGUCCUCAUGCCGUCACGGCAGGCAUCGUACUGACUGAGGCAUCUCCCAGACCCUUCUAGUUUCUUGUGAGGAUUAAGUGACUGACACAUACUAUAAGUACAAAAAUAUUUGUCACAACAACAACAACAACGCCCAAUGUCUUAAUAGUAAAGACACAAUUUUCUAAUUCUAACUGUUUCGUGGUGGUUCUCCGCCCUGGUGCUGAGUGAGAGGAAUUGGGAGGAAGGCACUGGACUUCUCCAGAAUGUCAGACUGAGUCCUGCACAAAGGUCUUCUGAGAGCUGCUGGGGGAUGGGAGGAGUGCUCUGUCUGGAGGGGCUGAAGACUAACCCAUUGUUUAGCUGUGCCUUUAUCCCACAAGCACAAGGGGCAUCAGGAAAUAAGGCUGCUUUGUAAGAAAGUUCACUUUACUGACACUACCCUCUCUGGCUUGGAACAAAAAUAAUAGGAGCUCAUUCACAAAACAUCAAUUUCUUCAGCAUGCUGCCCCUGGCACUUGCCUUGUGGAUCUGUGGCAGAGUGCAUGAAGAGAGAAUGCUAACACCACCAACCUACAGGCAUGGCACACUCACGCUGUCUCACAGCUGACAACAGUAGAACACACAUAUAAACCAGGAUCACGCACAGCCAAGCCUCACACACAUGUCAUCUCACAUCAUCUGAGUGAUGAUCAAAUGGUCAGACAGGGGCUCUCAUGAGUACUCAGUAGGACAAGCAUGCUGAUGGGGGGAGGGGGGGCGGCGAGUUUCUCAAAAGCCCAGGAAGGAAGCCGCCCAGGCUGUGCUCUGGCUCAGGGAUGGAUCUCCAGGGCCAGGCCUGAUGCUCUCACACCUCAUGCCAUUGCCUCUGAAGGGCCUCUCUGCAGACAGAGUAUCAGCCCCAUGUGAGGAUGGAGGGGAGGAAAGCGGUGCAGACUGAGGCUCACACAGCCCUUCACAAUGAAGCUGCCCUUGACCCUGCCCUUUCAACAUCCUCAGUGCUGCCUUAGCCUCUUCUCCUCUGAGCAGCUUUUAUUCCCAGACCUUCUCAUCUGCCACAAGCCUUUGACUGGCAGCCGCAGUAAAUGAAUACCGCUGAAGAGAGAUAAGAGCAGGCAGAGACUAUGGAGAAGAGAGCCCACCACAAAGGAAGCAGAGUAAUCAAGCAUGGAAUGUCCUCGGUUGCUCUGUCAGCAUUCUGUAUGAGUCUUCAAGGGGCUCUGGAAAUGCCAGCAGCCAGAACCUGACCCAGCUCAGACAGCUGGUACAGAGAGCUCAGAGUUCUUCUCAUAACUGAUGCCACUUUUGUUGGGUUCUAAAAGAAACAUGCAUGUCUCUGCUCUGAAAGACACCACCUGCGCCUCCCAAAUCUGCUUUAUUCCAGCCACGCGGUCCAGGGCUUUUAAAUUCUGCCAAUAAUCUUGGCUAGGGCUGGUCUAGAGCAGUUGAGUAGGGUGACAGAGCCUCACAACCGGAGGGCCCGGAGUCAAGUCCCAUGAGUGCAGGUAAAUGGGCAAACACCUGAUCCAGUCACUUAAAGCUCACAGAAGCUGGAGACUCCACCAGCAGACAGGGCAGGAUUUGGGUGCAAAGCACCGAGGUACAGACUGCUCCCAGCCUGUUCUGGCAUGUGAAUAAUAGCCAAACAGCAGCUAGGGGAAGAGGCUGUUUACUUGAGUUCAAACUAUUUAUAGCAUCAGCAAUCUGCACAUAUUUGGAUGACAAAUCUCUGGGUUUCAAGUGAGCCGAGCUUUGCUCCUGGACAAUUUCAACAAACACAUUCCCUCCCCACGCCACCCCCAGGUCCCCCAACACGUGUUGCCCUCAGGAUGUCUAACUUGAGUUGCCGAGCUUCUAAAGAUUAUAAAAAGAAAUCACAUUUCAAGAGCA
This 2509-nucleotide long non-coding RNA is filed under the name Mus musculus (house mouse). RNAcentral's name for it is "predicted gene 16316 (Gm16316)". The record is from RNAcentral. Lineage: Eukaryota; Metazoa; Chordata; Mammalia; Rodentia; Muridae.